Molecule: long non-coding RNA, 587 nt
Organism: Wasmannia auropunctata (little fire ant)
Lineage: Eukaryota; Metazoa; Arthropoda; Insecta; Hymenoptera; Formicidae
Exons: 3
Source: RefSeq, a predicted model, not a curated record
CAAUUAUAUUGAAUGGGAAAUUAUUAAAGAAACGUUACAUAUUACUUGGUGUUUUCUUGAAUAGAAUUGACUAUUUAUCUAAUAACUUUGAUUAAUAUUGUGCGUGUAAUUGUCAGUUAUAUAUAAAUUGUCUAUUAAUAAUUUCUCUUAAUUUAGUUUUUAUCUUCUCUUUAAUUAGCAGUAUGACAUAUAUGAACACGAUGAAGUUCAAGGAGAUACUACAGUAGCCCGUCCGAUUUUGGGAUCGGUUUUAUCAAUAGUACUUAAUGUGGUACUUGGUCUACUAAGCCCGGUGAUUACACCACUUCUUGCCUUUAUAGUAGAUUUUGUGUGUGCGAAUGCACCCACCGUAGCAGUCGACGGAGCAUGUGACUGUCUAAAAGGGAAUAUUUAAGAAUAUGUAUUCUUAAAAGGAAAAAGAAAAAUAUCAUAAAGGAUAACUUUUAUCAUCGACUUUGUAAAGGCACUGUUAUAAAACUAUACCUAUGAAAAAAUGCACUUACUAUAAGCACUUAAUAUUUUUAUUAUUAUUAUAUAAUUUGAAUGUACUGUCCCUUUCUAAACAGUUAAAUUUUAAAAUUAUAUAA